CGUGGUGGAGGGGUUUGCGUGUCCCUGUGAUCCUGGGAGCUGUGUUGUCCGGGGCUAAUAGCCCCUGGUAGGGUCUCCCAAGGCAAAGUGGUCCCAGGGGAGGGGCCAGACCAAGAGCGGUUCAGAAAAGACCAUGACUGAAUGCUAUCUUGGGGACACGAGUACCUCGCCUGGUAUGGUCAGUCUGCAGGUGCCGGUGAGCGUCUGGUGGCUGGGCCUCUGCCCAAGAGCUCAGCCUGAAAAGACGACAUGGAGCCGCCACCCUGAGGGCCCACCACCUGCAGGGACAGGAGUUAAGGUCAGUGGCAUCCUGGUUCCUGUCACCUGUGCUGUCCGGUAUCAUGUCAGGAAUUCUUGUCUAUUUUGUUUGCAAAUUCAUUCUGAAAAGUGUGCCGUGAUGGGGUAUGCUGUGGAUUGCUGGGAUGUGCCUUUGUCACAGCGUUGGUUGUUUGGUUCGCUGUCUGUCCAUACCUCAAGAAGAAAAUCAAGCGAGAAACAGCCCCGGCUCCCUGUGAACCUCCACCAAUGGAGAAGUCCAGCAAACCUGCUCCAGUAGAGCCGCCUUCAACCCCAGACUCCUCCAGCAGACAGUCAGAGGGUGGCUUUCAAACUUGGAGGUUCAGAGAAAGCUGACUUGGACAACAGCAACAUGGAAACUUAUGAUUUGGAUAUCGUCAGUGGAAGGACUACAAACCAUCAUGGCAUCCAGUAAAAGACUACAAGACCCACACUAAGCAAGCAGGGCAGUCAGGACACUGAUUACUGCCCAGCUGAAACAAAUCAGCUGAUUGAAUCGGUGCAUGCAGACGAGAAGACAAUGACUGAGACAACCAGAGAAGAGCAGAGCUUUUUAGUUAUGUUACCUAGAAGACCGUAAACUACAAUAUUGAUUUACUUGCAUGUUUUUGUUUUCUUCAACUUCUGUCUACAAGAAAUAAGUUUAAAAUGCUGUUAAAGAAGACUAAAUUCACCUGAAUUUGAGUUGGAAAGCAACAUUUGAAUGCACUCAUUUCCUGCACCCAUACUUCUGAAGUUCCAAGAGAAAAGCUCCCAACCUCUCACGGCAUCACAACAUUAAAACAAGUGAAUGGAUAACAAAGAUCCAAUAAUAUAAUACCAUAAUAACAACAUGGGCCAUUCUCCGUAAUAGGCAUGUUUACUUUCAAUACAUUAGAUUCAUGUUGUUGUUUAGUCACAGGCCCAUUUCAUGGACGGCAUUUUGACAUGUCACAGUAGGAACAACACAGGUGAAAACAAUACAGUCAAUGACUGAAUUACAUUUAGCUGCUUUGAUUUCAGGAUCUUUUUAUUCUGCAUGCUUGCUUACCGUCAGUCUCACUGAAACACUUGAGUAAAACAGCCAUCAUUAGUGUUAUCAGUAACACCUGUGCUUUUCCUACUCUGACAAGUCAAACUGCUGUGGGAAAGGCCUGUUGAGAUUGCUAUGCCACCUGCAUUUUACUUGCAUGUGCUUGACUGUGUCAGAGGAAGCAGUAGCCAGACAGAUUUUGUGUCUGCAUACUUUUGCUUUUGUUGAGUUCUGUUUUGCUUUCACUUUACAACACCUUACAUUUCAUGUCCUCUCACCUUUUUACAUCACUGAUUUUACUGAUUGACACCCUCCAAAUUUGCAGUUUUUCAGUUAUUUUCUUUGUUACAAUAAAUAUAUUUUAUUUACUGCCAACCACUAUGACCAUUACAAUAUUUGUCAUGGCCUGUGAGCCAGUACAUGGUGUACAUUCUUCUCCGUAACUAUUAAAAGCACUACUUAUCCUUGUAAUUUACCAUUUUCAUUGUUA
Plectropomus leopardus (leopard coralgrouper) is the source of this 1799-nucleotide long non-coding RNA. RefSeq lists it as uncharacterized. The record is from RefSeq and is a predicted model, not a curated record. NCBI's taxonomy places the organism in Eukaryota, Metazoa, Chordata, Actinopteri, Perciformes, Serranidae.